RNAcentral lists this ribosomal RNA (450 nucleotides) under uncultured bacterium. RNAcentral describes it as "partial 16S ribosomal RNA". It matches the Rfam family "Bacterial small subunit ribosomal RNA", at positions 354 to 796 of the family's 1533-position model. The record is from RNAcentral.
GUGGGGAAUAUUGGACAAUGGGCGCAAGCCUGAUCCAGCCAUACCGCGUGGGUGAAGAAGGCCUUCGGGUUGUAAAGCCCUUUUGUUGGGAAAGAAAUCCUAUCGGUUAAUAACCGGUGGGGAUGACGGUACCCAAAGAAUAAGCACCGGCUAACUUCGUGCCAGCAGCCGCGGUAAUACGAAGGGUGCAAGCGUUACUCGGAAUUACUGGGCGUAAAGCGUGCGUAGGUGGUGGUUUAAGUCUGCUGUGAAAGGCCUGGGCUCAACCUGGGAAUUGCAGUGGAUACUGGAUCACUAGAGUGUGGUAGAGUGAUGCGGAAUUUCUGGUGUAGCAGUGAAAUGCGUAGAGAUCAGAAGGAACAUCCGUGGCGAAGGCGGCAUCCUGGGCCAACACUGACACUGAGGCACGAAAGCGUGGGGAGCAAACAGGAUUAGAUACCCCUGUAGUCC